CACCAUGCUGUCAUUUGUUUGUUGUUUUGGAGCAACUCACUUAGUUUUGUUUUUGAUUCUUUUGUACAAGGUUGGGUGAUUGUGGGUGAGAUUGUGCAGUAGGAAUAACAGCUGCUGGUUGAGAAUUACCCCUCAAAAGUGAAAAUAGCGUGAGCUGUAUGUGGUAAGUGGAUUGACCUCUAAACUCCCUAGAAGGGCUGUAGCUUUGAAGGUGGACAUUUAUUGGGCUCGCACGUGACACUUAUUGGGGCUAAAGAUGAAUCCCGAAGGAACUAAAUAACAGAAUGAUCUGUUUGUCUCCACAAGGUCAGGGAUGUUGGAAGCUGGAGUAGACAGGAUUAUUUCUCAGGUGGUGGAUCCAAAACUUAACCACAUCUUCAGGCCACAAAUAGAACGAGCAAUUCAUGAGUUCCUGGCGGCCCAGAAAAAAGCAGCUGUGCCAGCACCCCCUCCAGAGCCCGAAGGCCAGGACCCUCCAGCUCCAUCUCAGGACACUUCCUAAGAAUAUGCCAGACACCUUUUGAAAGCUAAUUUUUGGUGAAGAAAUGGAUUCGGUUACAUAAGAGUGCAACUUCAGACUGAAGAUAGGCCAAGGUCGUCACUGAUCUCAAGAUUUCAACCUUGACCAUGGGCAGUGACCAGAUUGAAAGGGGAGCAAGUUCGGCAGUGGGAGAGUUGACCGUGUCACCCCCUGCAUUGUGCUGCCAUUUGGCCAGCCUGUCCAAGGGCAUGACAC
Molecule: small RNA, 736 nt
Filed under: Pan troglodytes (chimpanzee)
Lineage: Eukaryota; Metazoa; Chordata; Mammalia; Primates; Hominidae
Description: retained intron
Source: RNAcentral